ACGAACGCUGGCGGCGUGCUUCACACAUGCAAGUCGAACGGAAAGGCCCUGCUUUUGUGGGGUGCUCGAGUGGCGAAAGGGUGAGUAACACGUGAGUAACCUGCCCUUGACUUUGGGAUAACUUCAGGAAACUGGGGCUAAUACCGGAUAGGAGCUCCUGCUGCAUGGUGGGGGUUGGAAAGUUUCGGCGGUUGGGGAUGGACUCGCGGCUUAUCAGCUUGUUGGUGGGGUAGUGGCUUACCAAGGCUUUGACGGGUAGCCGGCCUGAGAGGGUGACCGGCCACAUUGGGACUGAGAUACGGCCCAGACUCCUACGGGAGGCAGCAGUGGGGAAUAUUGCACAAUGGGCGGAAGCCUGAUGCAGCAACGCCGCGUGCGGGAUGACGGCCUUCGGGUUGUAAACCGCUUUCGCCUGUGACGAAGCGUGAGUGACGGUAAUGGGUAAAGAAGCACCGGCUAACUACGUG
This 467-nucleotide ribosomal RNA is filed under the name uncultured bacterium. RNAcentral describes it as "partial 16S ribosomal RNA". It matches the Rfam family "Bacterial small subunit ribosomal RNA", at positions 29 to 507 of the family's 1533-position model. The record is from RNAcentral.